ACGUACACUCCUGCGGGAGGCAGCAGUGAGGAAUAUUGGACAAUGGGUGGAAGCCUGAUCCAGCCAUCCCGCGUGCAGGAAGACGGCCCUAUGGGUUGUAAACUGCUUUUAUCUGGGGAUAAACCUACUUACGUGUAAGUAGCUGAAGGUACCAGAAGAAUAAGCACCGGCUAACUCCGUGCCAGCAGCCGCGGUAAUACGGAGGGUGCAAGCGUUAUCCGGAUUUAUUGGGUUUAAAGGGUCCGUAGGCGGACUGAUAAGUCAGUGGUGAAAUCCGACAGCUUAACUGUCGAACUGCCAUUGAUACUGUUAGUCUUUAGUAAGGUUGAAGUGGCUGGAAUAAGUAGUGUAGCGGUGAAAUGCAUAGAUAUUACUUAGAACACCAAUUGCGAAGGCAGGUCACUAAGUCUUAACUGACGCUGAUGGACGAAAGCGUGGGGAGCGAACAGGAUUAGAAACCCGAGUAGUCCCAUGAU
This 476-nucleotide ribosomal RNA is filed under the name uncultured organism. Its description in RNAcentral is "partial 16S ribosomal RNA". It matches the Rfam family "Bacterial small subunit ribosomal RNA", at positions 329 to 801 of the family's 1533-position model. The record is from RNAcentral.